Long non-coding RNA from Salvia miltiorrhiza (redroot sage), 550 nucleotides. RefSeq lists it as uncharacterized. Lineage: Eukaryota; Viridiplantae; Streptophyta; Magnoliopsida; Lamiales; Lamiaceae. The transcript has 2 exons. The record is from RefSeq and is a predicted model, not a curated record.
UCCCCAUAAAAAGAUUGGAUAACCCUCACCCACAGCGCCUCCUUCUCCACCAAGUACCUCCAAAGCCAUUUGAAAACCAAGACCUUGUUAAACCAUUCAAUAUUUCGAAAUCCCAAGCCCCCUUUUAUCUUAUCGACACACAGAUCUUUCCAUCUGAACCACGCAAUUGAUCUAGACUCACCACACCCUCCCCACAAUUGAUCUUCCUUCUUUCUCCUUUAUUCUUAGUUCAUCCAAAUUUGAACAGAUUUUGCAAAGGAGUUUCUCCGCCUGAUAUUCUGACCGGAGUUCCAAUUUAAAUAAUUGGUAAGAGUACUACAGAAGUGAAGUAUGAUUGGGGCUCUGUUUGGAUUGUUUUGAUUCUAUUGGGUUUUCGGUGGUGGUUAAGGGUAACAAUUCUUGUUAGUUAUGCAAUGUUCAGUGCUGAAGGUUUGAUUAUUUGUUUAUUUUAAGUCAAAUUCUUACACAUUUCUUGGUUCAUCAGUUAGGACUAUAUAGUUGAAAUUUAUGUCAAAUCUCAACCGCAUAAUAUAAGGAAAAGUUUCUUUUA